AACCCUAAACCCUAAACCCUAAACCCUAAACCCUAAACCCUAAACCCUAAACCCUAAACCCUAAACCCUAAACCCUAAACCCUAAACCCUAAACCCUAAACCCUAUACUGCAAGCUGAAAAGUAUACUACGACUGGAUAAACAAUUUCAACGACAUCCCUGAUAUACGCUUGCACAAAGAAACAGGCAACCGUUUCGAUUGCAAUGAUUUGCAACCUGAAGGAGGUUUACAAACCAUUUUUAAGGAUGGAUCCCUAUCAACCACGCCAUCUGGAUCAUUGGAACCGAUACUGCCCCCUAUGCGACACCCCGGGUUUUGUUCUGACGACAAACUAGUGAUGAACACUGAGUAUCUUGUGCACGAUUUCAAGACUCUUUGCUCGAAGCUCUCUCGGACCUCGAGGACAGUAUUUGUCGAUCUCGGGGCAUCGCUUGUAUUUCACACUGGCGAACCGCCCACGUUAUCGUUGAUAAAACUUUAUCAAAAGUUCGGCUUCUACUUCGAUCACAUUUAUGCUUAUGAACUGACCCAAGGGAAUGUGACUGAAUUGUACGAUUCACUCCCGGCUGAGUGGCUUUCGUCAUAUCACUGGAUUAACGCUGGGGUUGAACUCGACCCUUCAAGUGCCCUAAAUCCAUUGAGCCUAUUGAUAAAAAGUUUCAGGCCCGAAGACUUUAUUGUGCUCAAAUUAGAUGUGGAUAAUCCUGAAAUCGAACUUUCGUUAGUAAAACAAAUCUUAGAGACCCCCGCACUUCACAGCCUGAUCGACCAGUUCUACUUUGAACAUCAUGUGCGCCUUGAAGAGCUCCGAGGGCCAUGGGGGGCAACAGUACGAGGUUCUGUCUCAGAUUCUUUAUUAUUGUUCCAAAAGUUGAGGAUGAAAGGUAUCCCAGCGCACUUCUGGGUCUAACCUGGAUACCUACUGUUUUCGCACCUGUUGUCUCAAACGCGCGCGUUCAAUGCACUUUCCACUUUCUGGUCAGCAGGGGGUAAAUGUGAAGGAAGAGCAAGUAGCUUCCAUUCGUCACGCGCCACCCCGUGCGUGCUGUGGCACGAAAGUACUUCCAGAAGUACGCUUUGUGACUAGAUGCAGGAAACGUGCAAAACGCUGCGUUCUGAGUGGCUGUAGGCGUCGGAUUUCAUCAAAGAGUUUUUUUUUUUGGAUGGGACCGCGAGAGUGUAUCAAGCAAUAUGCCUCUGAGGGAUGUACCGUUGGGUCGAUACGAUAAGUUCAAAGACACUGCAUUUUUUUAUAGAAUAUGAACGAGGGUUUCGCGACAUGCUAAAAUAUGCCGGUGAGAAUGGAAUGAAGGUGAACAUCCACUCCCACUCCCUCGGAGGUUCCCUCGGUGGUCUUACAAGUAGAAUCCUCGUGGAGAAAUAUCCCAGCAAGAGCAUCAAGACCUUGGAUAUGUUCAACGCACAUCACAGUCCCUUCUGUACUUCAAAAAAUCUACCAGACUACAUUGAAACCCAACUAUCAUACGAUAAUUUAUAGUGACAUUACCGAUAUGAAACACUGGUUUCCCANNNNN
RNAcentral lists this long non-coding RNA (1535 nucleotides) under Micromonas pusilla. Its description in RNAcentral is "long non-coding RNA (MPUS_LNC000201)". Lineage: Eukaryota; Viridiplantae; Chlorophyta; Mamiellophyceae; Mamiellales; Mamiellaceae. The record is from RNAcentral.